GGAAGUGCAAGGCCAAGAUGAGGACAAAGAAUGAGAGGGAAGGAGGUUGAUUCUGGAUAGAGUUAUGAGAAGGAUGGAGAGGAGGAGACCCUGGCGCAGACCCCCACCUGGCCCCACCUCCUGCGAGGGUACCACUGUCGCCUUGCUCUGACUCUGCUUUUACCUGACGUACUGAGAAGCCUGGAUCACACCCGCUAUGCUGGGCUGGCCCUUGCACCAGUGAGGAGGCCCAGGGUGCUCCAGUGCUUCUGCUCCUUCCUCUGCAUGCUCCCCCUCUGCAUGCUCCCCCUCUUCCUGCCUUGAGACUUAAUAUAGAGUCCACCACCUGCCAGCUGGGAACCUGAUCAGUGACCCAACAUCAGUGACCCAACAUCCGUGACCUGGGGAGGGCACACAAGUCCAGUGCUCUGUGAGUGUUCUUCUGGAACAUUGUGGGAUGGUGAGAAGCCCCCAAAGGACUUCAGGGGACUCUGAAGUAUUGGGAAUAAGGGGAGCCCUUCAAGGCAGGAUACAGAGACCUGCAGGGACAUGGAGCAGACUGAGGCAAUGCUCAGGCCCUGCCAUCGUGACUCGGGUUCUUGGCUGAGAUUCCACCUCCCAACGUCUCCUGCCAACAGUCGGGUCACCAGCUGCCCCUCUCUUGUCCUGAGUCUCCUGCUCACUGUGACCUUGAGGGCUCAUGGGCUCU
This 688-nucleotide long non-coding RNA is filed under the name Mus pahari (shrew mouse). RNAcentral describes it as "predicted gene 11467 (MGP_PahariEiJ_G0005595.1)". Lineage: Eukaryota; Metazoa; Chordata; Mammalia; Rodentia; Muridae. The record is from RNAcentral.